Molecule: ribosomal RNA, 465 nt
Filed under: uncultured bacterium
Lineage: Bacteria
Description: partial 16S ribosomal RNA
Rfam family: Bacterial small subunit ribosomal RNA
Source: RNAcentral
CCUACGGGGGGCAGCAGUGGGGAAUAUUGCGCAAUGGGCGAACGCCUGACGCAGCGACGCCGCGUGAGGGAUGAAGGUCUUCGGAUCGUAAACCUCUGUCAGCAGGGAAGAACGGUCACUGUGCUAAUCAGCAGUGAAUUGACGGUACCUGCAAAGGAAGCACCGGCUAACUCCGUGCCAGCAGCCGCGGUAAUACGGAGGGUGCGAGCGUUAAUCGGAAUUACUGGGCGUAAAGCGGUCGUAGGAGGUAUGUCAAGUCAAGGGUGAAAGCCCCGCGCUCAACGUGGGAACUGCCUUUGAAACUGGCAAACUGGAGUGUGUGAGAGGAUAGUGGAAUUCCAGGUGUAGGAGUGAAAUCCGUAGAUAUCUGGAGGAACAUCAGUGGCGAAGGCGACUAUCUGGCACAUAACUGACGCUGAGGAGCGAAAGCGUGGGUAGCAAACAGGAUUAGAUACCCGAGUAGUC